This 479-nucleotide ribosomal RNA is filed under the name uncultured microorganism. RNAcentral describes it as "bacterial SSU rRNA". It matches the Rfam family "Bacterial small subunit ribosomal RNA", at positions 9 to 453 of the family's 1533-position model. The record is from RNAcentral.
GAGUUUGAUCGUGGCUCAGGAUGAACGCCGGCGGUGUGCCUAAUACAUGCAAGUCGUACGCACUGGCCCAACUGAUUGAUGGUGCUUGCACCUGAUUGACGAUGGAUCACCAGUGAGUGGCGGACGGGUGAGUAACACGUAGGUAACCUGCCCCGGAGCGGGGGAUAACAUUCGGAAACAGAUGCUAAUACCGCAUAACAACAAAGGCCACAUGGCUUUUGUUUGAAGAUGGCUUUGGCCAUCACUCUGGGAUGGACCUGCGGUGCAUUAGCUAGUUGGUAAGGUAACGGCUUACCAAGGCGAUGAUGCAUAGCCGAGUUGAGAGACUGAUCGGCCACAAUGGAACUGAGACACGGUCCAUACUCCUACGGGAGGCAGCAGUAGGGAAUCUUCCACAAUGGGCGCAAGCCUGAUGGAGCAACACCGCGUGAGUGAAGAAGGGUUUCGGCUCGUAAGCUCUGUUGUUGGAGAAGAACGUG